UGCUUCUGUGACUUUGUUCAAGAUGUUACCUGUGCUGGAAUCUUGUGGAGGAACUAAAGAGAGCCUAUCAACAGUUGUAAAUCAAAGAAAAGACAGAUGUUUGGGCAUUUGUAAGAAACUUGUACUUGAGAAGAUUAGGAAAAUAUUUCGGAUAACCUUGAACUAUUGAUAAGAUUUUAACAGGCAUGUGGGGAGAUUCCUUUGUGAGAAGAGACAACAUUGAAUCUAUCAUAGUGCCUUGCAUAGUAAGGACCUAAUAUGUAUUUGUUGAACAAAUGAAUGAAUACAUGAAGAAUGAAUGGGUCAGUGUCUGCUUGUAUCUAUAUCAGUGUGAUUGAAUUGAUCACAUCUGUUUUCUCUCUCUAUUAGGAGAGAUUUGGAGGAACAUAAGAGAAUAAGGUGCCUGAAGGGAAAAGAAGCCUUGAGGAUAGAGUAGUCUCCAGUGUGAACAUCAACCUGUAACAAGAUAAUCUACAGUAGCAGGCCAGUGGAAGUGUGGACAUCACCCCUUCUACCUCAUUAGGGAACAUUAGCUGUGAGCUAACAUCUGCCGCCAAAGCUCCUCUUUUUGCUGAGGAAGACUGGCCCUGAGCUAACAUCCGUACCCAUCUUCCUCUACUUUAUAUGUGGGACGCCUGCCACAGCAUGGCUUGCCAAGCGGUGCCAUGUCCACACCUGGGAUCUGAACUGGUGAACCCCGGGCUGCUGAAGCGGAACGUGGGAACUUAACCACUGCACCAUGGGGCCAGCCCCAUAAUCUCCCUAUUUUAAGGUAAACUGAUUAGCAACCUUAAUUCCGUAUGCAAGUCUUAAUACCUCUCUUUGUCAUGUAACAUAACAUAUUCACAGGUACCGGAGAUUAUGAUGUGGACAUACUUGAGACGGAGGCAUUGUUCUGCCUACCACGCUUAGUUAACUUCUGCAUUUCAGUUUCUUCAUCUAGAAAAUGAGAACAAAGCUACCUACUUCA
Molecule: long non-coding RNA, 970 nt
Filed under: Equus asinus (donkey)
Lineage: Eukaryota; Metazoa; Chordata; Mammalia; Perissodactyla; Equidae
Description: lncRNA (ENSEASG00005037779.1)
Source: RNAcentral